UGUCUUGUAAAUGAACUCUAUAGGACAAGAUACCGGGACAUCGAGCGGACAAGCCGGUGGUGAUUCUCGAUUGAAGGGUGUGCGCCAAGGUAAUUAGAAGUCAUGGAUGGCGAUCAAGCGACAAGAUGAAUGAACCGAACACUCCACUUCGAAGCUUCCGCUAUGUUGAACUUGUUAAACAGUGUUUCUUUCGUUGUAAUCAAAGUCUUAAACAACAAUAUUACGUUCUACUUUUGUUUUUAGUAGGCUAACUAGUAAAAGUUUUGAAACUUAUGUAAUUUCUAACGGCUU
RNAcentral lists this long non-coding RNA (291 nucleotides) under Helianthus annuus (common sunflower). RNAcentral describes it as "sRNA HanXRQr2_Chr06g0251881". Lineage: Eukaryota; Viridiplantae; Streptophyta; Magnoliopsida; Asterales; Asteraceae. The record is from RNAcentral.